AACGGAGGGGGCAAGCGUUAUUCACCUUGACUGGGCGUAAAGGGUUUGUAGAUGGUUUUUUAUUUAAAAAGUAAGUAAUCUAAGCACAACUUUUGAAGUUAUUUUUUAAACGAAAAAGCUAGGGAUAUUCAGAAGUAAGUUGCAUUUCUAAAGUAGGGGUGAAAUUCUUGCAUAGUAGAAAGACAGUCAAUUGGCGAAAGCUACUUACUAGGAAUAGUCUAACGUUGAGAAACGAAAGCAUGGGGAUCAAACAGG
RNAcentral lists this ribosomal RNA (255 nucleotides) under uncultured bacterium. RNAcentral's name for it is "partial 16S ribosomal RNA". It matches the Rfam family "Bacterial small subunit ribosomal RNA", at positions 524 to 776 of the family's 1533-position model. The record is from RNAcentral.